ACACUAAGGUUUAUAUUUUAAAUUUAAGGUUUAUAUUUUAAAUAUUAAUUGAACUGUACAUUUAAGAUUCAUACCAGGUUUACUUCUUAUAGCUGAAUUAAUUUACAAUUAUAAAAAUAUGAAAAGAAUAAAAUUAAUGAGGAAAAUAUUUAAAAAUUAUAAAUAUGAUAUGGGAUUUACACCUAGAAUUGCAUAAAUAACUCAUAUAACUCAAUAUUAAAAGACAAAUAACCAAUUAAAGAAUGGGCAAGGUAUCUGUAUAGCUAUUUCUGCAAAGCAUAUAAAAAAUGACUAAUAAGCACAUGAAAAGAUAGAUGUUUGACAUUAUUAGUCAUUAAGGAAAUACAAAUCAAAGCCACAUUGGGAUACCAACCGUGUCACACCAACUAGGAUGAUAUGAAUAAAAAGUCAGAUAGUAAUGCUGAUAAAGAUGUGGAGAAAUAAGGACCCGUAUAGACUGCUUGUAGGAUGUACAGUGUUACAGACACCAUGGUUUAGCUCUAGAAUGUCCCCCUAAAGGCUUUCGUGUUUGGAAGGUGAUUAGAUCACUGGGUGCUAUAUUCAUCAGUGGAUUAGUCCACUAAAGAGCGCAGCUGUUGGAGGCUGGACACUGGGACAUGACGGGGCUGGGUGUCUCUCCCUCCCUGGCUCCUCCCAUCUCUCUCUGCUUCCUGGCUGCCAUGAGUUGAGUACCUUCUCCUGUGCCAUGCCUCUGUGCAUCCUUUUCCUGUCUUGGAGCCAGCCAACCAUAGCACGAAGCCAUUGGCCAAAAUAAACCUGUCCUUUAAGUCGUAAGUGUUGGGUAUUUCGUUCCAGGGCUGAGAAUGAGUAAGAUAGACACUUUGGAAACCAGUCUGACCGUUUUCCAAAAAAGUUAAACACAGGGUUAUCAUUUUGACCCAGAAAUUCCAUUCCUAGACUAGAAAACAUAUAUUAAACUCCUGACCAAAUCUGCCUUUGGAAAGAAGGGGAAUUGGGAGCAAAAGGUAUUUUACUUUUAUCUAGAAUGCUCUAUUAUAUUUAUUUUUCAAAAAAAUGUUUGAAUCAAACAUGUCGGAAUAUUAAAAAC
This is a long non-coding RNA of Heterocephalus glaber (naked mole-rat), 1069 nucleotides long. The record is from Ensembl. Lineage: Eukaryota; Metazoa; Chordata; Mammalia; Rodentia; Bathyergidae.